RNAcentral lists this ribosomal RNA (1021 nucleotides) under Pyrenochaetopsis decipiens. RNAcentral describes it as "SSU rRNA". It matches the Rfam family "Eukaryotic small subunit ribosomal RNA", at positions 75 to 1105 of the family's 1831-position model. The record is from RNAcentral. Lineage: Eukaryota; Fungi; Ascomycota; Dothideomycetes; Pleosporales; Pyrenochaetopsidaceae.
UAUACCGUGAAACUGCGAAUGGCUCAUUAAAUCAGUUAUCGUUUAUUUGAUAGUACCUUACUACAUGGAUAACCGUGGUAAUUCUAGAGCUAAUACAUGCUGAAAACCCCAACUUCGGGAGGGGUGUAUUUAUUAGAUAAAAAACCAACGCCCUUCGGGGCUCCUUGGUGAUUCAUAAUAACUUUACGGAUCGCAUGGCCUUGCGCCGGCGACGGUUCAUUCAAAUUUCUGCCCUAUCAACUUUCGAUGGUAAGGUAUUGGCUUACCAUGGUUUCAACGGGUAACGGGGAAUUAGGGUUCGAUUCCGGAGAGGGAGCCUGAGAAACGGCUACCACAUCCAAGGAAGGCAGCAGGCGCGCAAAUUACCCAAUCCCGAUACGGGGAGGUAGUGACAAUAAAUACUGAUACAGGGCUCUUUUGGGUCUUGUAAUUGGAAUGAGUACAAUUUAAACCUCUUAACGAGGAACAAUUGGAGGGCAAGUCUGGUGCCAGCAGCCGCGGUAAUUCCAGCUCCAAUAGCGUAUAUUAAAGUUGUUGCAGUUAAAAAGCUCGUAGUUGAAACUUGGGUCUGGCUGGCAGGUCCGCCUCACCGCGUGUACUUGUCCGGCCGGGCCUUCCUUCUGGAGAACCUCAUGCCCUUCACUGGGCGUGUUGGGGACCAGGACUUUUACUUUGAAAAAAUUAGAGUGUUCAAAGCAGGCCUUUGCUCGAAUACGUUAGCAUGGAAUAAUAGAAUAGGACGUGCGGUUCUAUUUUGUUGGUUUCUAGGACCGCCGUAAUGAUUAAUAGGGACAGUCGGGGGCAUCAGUAUUCAAUUGUCAGAGGUGAAAUUCUUGGAUUUAUUGAAGACUAACUACUGCGAAAGCAUUUGCCAAGGAUGUUUUCAUUAAUCAGUGAACGAAAGUUAGGGGAUCGAAGACGAUCAGAUACCGUCGUAGUCUUAACCGUAAACUAUGCCGACUAGGGAUCGGGCGAUGUUCUUUUUUUUGACUCGCUCGGCACCUUACGAGAAAUCAAAGUU